GUGCCAGCAGCCGCGGUAAUACGGGGGGGGCAAGCGUUGUUCGGAAUUACUGGGCGUAAAGGGCUCGUAGGCGGCCAACUAAGUCAGACGUGAAAUCCCUCGGCUUAACCGGGGAACUGCGUCUGAUACUGGAUGGCUCGAGUGUGGGAGAGGGAUGCGGAAUUCCAGGUGUAGCGGUGAAAUGCGUAGAUAUCUGGAGGAACACCGGUGGCGAAGGCGGCAUCCUGGACCACGACUGACGCUGAGGAGCGAAAGCCAGGGGAGCAAACGGGAUUAGAAACCCGAGUAGUCC
This 292-nucleotide ribosomal RNA is filed under the name uncultured bacterium. Its description in RNAcentral is "partial 16S ribosomal RNA". It matches the Rfam family "Bacterial small subunit ribosomal RNA", at positions 505 to 796 of the family's 1533-position model. The record is from RNAcentral.